UAAAUUAAGCAGUAAAUGAGGGAACGGGGCCAUGAUACUCAAUGACCGGUCGGGUCGUUACAAUUCAAGAACUGGCAAAGAGCCAAAUCUUCAAAAACUUUGGGAAAUGACUCACAUACAUCAGGACAUUGGGUUAAUGAUGCCUCUGCUGAAUUUAAUGAUAAGCUGAUAGAAAUUGUGGAUGAACAAAUUCAAGAAGUGGAAGAGGGUACUGAUAUGGACCCAAUUGUUAAUGCUGCUUUCGUGAAACUUGUUGGAGAAAAGUCAGGAUAUUGCCGCGGUCAAGGAUCGGGAGUCAAGCCAGCUAGUAGGAGAACUAUGCAUGUAACUCAAGAGCAACUGCAAGCACAACAGAGAGAGGUGGAAGAAGAACGCCAUAAAUGAGAGAGUGUAGAGUGCAAACUAAUAGAAGUGGAAAAUCAACUCUAGGAGGAGCGGAAAAAAUGAGAAGUCAUGGAAGCUCGUCUACUGAGUGAUCAAAAAAUAUUAAAACAAGGCAUGAUGGCACUAGUAUCCCAUAUUCAAAGUUCCAAGACUGGACUUCCUGCUGCAAUUUUUGACAUGAUUGCUAAUUUAAAUGAUUCGGAUGAGACAAGUCCUACAAAUCUUAUGGAUGAUACCAUGGAUGAGCAUGCGUAAACACGAACAAUCCUGACAUCCGGUUCAUGUAGUGCACAAGCUGUUGGGAGAAGAUUUAUUUUUGGGUUACUAUUAGAAUAGAACUUAAGGACCUUGGAUAUAUGAUGCUUUUACUCGUUUUGUAAGUAAAAAUAUACUUUUAGGACUA
Molecule: RNA transcript, 787 nt
Organism: Nicotiana tabacum (common tobacco)
Lineage: Eukaryota; Viridiplantae; Streptophyta; Magnoliopsida; Solanales; Solanaceae
Source: RefSeq, a predicted model, not a curated record